GGACGUAUAGCUCAGUGGUAGAGCAAUUGACUGCAGAUCAAUAGGUCCCUGGUUCAAAUCCGGGUGCGUCCU
RNAcentral lists this transfer RNA (72 nucleotides) under Perkinsela sp. CCAP 1560/4. It matches the Rfam family "tRNA". From Rfam's summary of the family: Transfer RNA (tRNA) molecules are approximately 80 nucleotides in length. The record is from Rfam by way of RNAcentral. Lineage: Eukaryota; Euglenozoa; Kinetoplastea; Prokinetoplastida; Perkinselidae.